Long non-coding RNA from Saccostrea cuccullata (small rock oyster), 1113 nucleotides. RefSeq lists it as uncharacterized. Lineage: Eukaryota; Metazoa; Mollusca; Bivalvia; Ostreida; Ostreidae. The transcript has 5 exons. The record is from RefSeq and is a predicted model, not a curated record.
AUAACAGUAUGGUCCUAUGGAUUUCAGUACCAAAACUGAUUUUCUACCGUUUUUCUUCCAAGAAAGUUCUGAACAGCUGAAUCCUGGAUCAGCCUAAAUGUUAUUUCACUGGAUUAUUUAAUGAAUAUUACUCUACUGAGUUACCUGGUUACAUGGAUCAGCUGAGAUGUUAUUUCACUGGAUUAUUUAAUUGGGCAUAUAAUUGGAUAAUUCUGUCCUCAACCUGGAAGAUAUGUUUUAUUCCCAACCAUCUAUAAUCCAUUCUCUAUGAAGUUCAGCCUGUCUGCCCAAAUUCCUUUGGAAAUACAUAGUUAGUCAACCAACAUAGAAACAAUCAAACUUGAAGUCCUCAACAUGGAAGAAUUGGUUUGUUCUUAACCAUCUAUAAUCCAUUCUCUAUGAAGUGAAGCCUGGCUGCUGGUCUUCCUUUGGAAAUACACAGUUUGUCAAUCAACAUAGAAACACACAAACUUGAAGGAUUCUCUUGUGAGGGCUUAUGGAAAUGAUCUAUGUCUACUCUUAGAAUGGUGAAAGACUUUCAGAUUAUGCAAAGACUAACAGAAUAUCCUCUCUUGGAACACUGAAACAAGAAAACCAAACUUAAGAAGAUGGAGGAUUUAAGAAGAACAUAGAUAAAUAUGAUUUCCAACCAAUUUAACCAAUACGGUCAUAGACUGUGGUUUACAGGAUGACAAAGAAAGGACUCAGGAUUGUAUCUUUCACUGUCAGACACUGACUAUGGAUAAAGUGUAAUCAUUUAUCAGACUGAGAUCUAGUCAAAUCAAGUAUUGAAAAUAUGAUUUUCUGAUAGCAUGAGCUCUUUAAAAACUAAUUCUCAAUGACCUCAAAGUAUCUGAAAGUGACUUUUAUUUUUACCAAUUCAUAUUGAAGACUGUUGUUAUGUAUGGGAAUUACACAUUUAAACCUUUUAUUUUUCAUCUAAUUUUUACAACCACCUAGAAAUUAACGCAGAUAUCCAGAUGCUGGAUUUAAUGUUAUUAUUUAACUUUCCUGGAAUUGUAAAUAUAUUUUGUUUGUGUAUGUAUCAUGUUUAAUUUUGAAUUUAAAUUGGGUCUCAAUAAGACCCCCAAUAAAGAUGCAAGUGUCCCAUAA